This 1145-nucleotide ribosomal RNA is filed under the name Escherichia coli. Its description in RNAcentral is "partial 23S ribosomal RNA". It matches the Rfam family "Bacterial large subunit ribosomal RNA", at positions 1 to 1191 of the family's 2925-position model. The record is from RNAcentral. Lineage: Bacteria; Pseudomonadati; Pseudomonadota; Gammaproteobacteria; Enterobacterales; Enterobacteriaceae.
UAAGCGACUAAGCGUACACGGUGGAUGCCCUGGCAGUCAGAGGCGAUGAAGGACGUGCUAAUCUGCGAUAAGCGUCGGUGAGGUGAUAUGAACCGUUAUAACCGGCGAUUUCCGAAUGGGGAAACCCAGUGUGUUUCGACACACUAUCAUUAACUGAAUCCAUAGGUUAAUGAGGCGAACCGGGGGAACUGAAACAUCUAAGUACCCCGAGGAAAAGAAAUCAACCGAGAUUCCCCCAGUAGCGGCGAGCGAACGGGGAGGAGCCCAGAGCCUGAAUCAGUGUGUGUGUUAGUGGAAGCGUCUGGAAAGGCGCGCGAUACAGGGUGACAGCCCCGUACACAAAAAUGCACAUAUUGUGAGCUCGAUGAGUAGGGCGGGACACGUGGUAUCCUGUCUGAAUAUGGGGGGACCAUCCUCCAAGGCUAAAUACUCCUGACUGACCGAUAGUGAACCAGUACCGUGAGGGAAAGGCGAAAAGAACCCCGGCGAGGGGAGUGAAAAAGAACCUGAAACCGUGUACGUACAAGCAGUGGGAGCCUCUUAAUGGGGUGACUGCGUACCUUUUGUAUAAUGGGUCAGCGACUUAUAUUCUGUAGCAAGGUUAACCGAAUAGGGGAGCCGAAGGGAAACCGAGUCUUAACUGGGCGUUAAGUUGCAGGGUAUAGACCCGAAACCCGGUGAUCUAGCCAUGGGCAGGUUGAAGGUUGGGUAACACUAACUGGAGGACCGAACCGACUAAUGUUGAAAAAUUAGCGGAUGACUUGUGGCUGGGGGUGAAAGGCCAAUCAAACCGGGAGAUAGCUGGUUCUCCCCGAAAGCUAUUUAGGUAGCGCCUCGUGAAUUCAUCUCCGGGGGUAGAGCACUGUUUCGGCAAGGGGGUCAUCCCGACUUACCAACCCGAUGCAAACUGCGAAUACCGGAGAAUGUUAUCACGGGAGACACACGGCGGGUGCUAACGUCCGUCGUGAAGAGGGAAACAACCCAGACCGCCAGCUAAGGUCCCAAAGUCAUGGUUAAGUGGGAAACGAUGUGGGAAGGCCCAGACAGCCAGGAUGUUGGCUUAGAAGCAGCCAUCAUUUAAAGAAAGCGUAAUAGCUCACUGGUCGAGUCGGCCUGCGCGGAAGAUGUAACGGGGCUAAACCAUG